Molecule: long non-coding RNA, 1697 nt
Filed under: Gossypium barbadense (sea-island cotton)
Lineage: Eukaryota; Viridiplantae; Streptophyta; Magnoliopsida; Malvales; Malvaceae
Description: long non-coding RNA (GBAR_LNC004777)
Source: RNAcentral
CGGGCUUUUGGGCUCGGACCUGUUCUGUUAACUCUACACAAGAUCAAAAUUAACUUAACAAAAAAAAAUCCAAAUAUCACUACAACUAGAACAUAAAGAGACAUUACAAAUGGAAAUUGAACACCUGAAAUUCCUCGGAGGUGGAGCCAGCACACGAUCCGAAUCAAAUAAACAGAGACUUGUGCACGGAACAUGUUAGAUAAUGAAAGCAUACUAAGCUUUUAGAUAAUAAAAGCAUACUAAGCUUAAAUUCAACAACAUAUAAUCAUUACGACAUGAAUUCAAACCACAAAUUACUAACAUUUUUAUAAUUUUCUCAAUCAUUUACGCCACGAAUCAUAUAUUCUCAUCAUUUUCAAAGACUACUUCUCAUACUUAUUACCAAAUACUUUGCUCAUACACAACAUUCAAUUUUAUUAUAACAUAGUUAGAUUGUAGCCUUUAUUAAUCGAGCAUGAAAAUCUUGGAUACAUGAUACUCCUAAACACAUCAAGUUACACAUGAGUGCCAUAACAUAAAUGAAACCCCAUUGUGAGUAAUAACACAACUUCCAACCCAACACACCAUACAAGUGCAUAGCACUAAAACACCCUCCAAACACGAACAUGUAUAAGAUCUAAUAAGAAAACCCUCCCAGCACACCAAAAACUCCUGGGCGCAUUAAGCUAAUGUAACAAUAAUCACAAAAGAAUUAAGCUCAUUAUACCAUAGCAUCCCAACUAUACCUGAUCACAUUCCAAGAUUGUUUAAUAAGGCUGUUUUAACAAUUUAAGCAUAUUUACUACUAAUAAUAAGCAUCGUAAGCAUCACCUUGACACUCACAUAAAUCAAUACUCCUACUAAGUUUCAUACAAAAGCAUGCUCAACCUCAACAAAACAUCUCAAAUGUGUAAUUGACUCAUGCUUCCAUAGUUCUAAGACUUUCUCCUUCCCCUUAGCUUUGGAACUUUCUCCAAUCUCAUUAACUUCAUUUUCAAAUCAAAAGAGUAGAAAUGGGUUCUUAAAAUCAUAAUUCAACCAUUGAAACACUUAGAAUUAUUGAAGCAACGCAAUUCCAUAAAGCGAGAUUCCAUUUCGUUUCCUAAGAUUCGCAAGAGAACUCUUUCGACCCCCAACCAAAGCUAACCAAAUCUAAUUCCUAUCGAUUCAACUGUGAUUCAAAGUCUAUAACUUUACCAAAACUCUCCUAGAAAUCAAGAAAACCUCAACACAACUCACUUUCUGUCUCUAGACUGUUUAAUGACAACCCUCCAAAACUCAACUUAAAUUCCAAAUAAAUAUGAAAUUUCCUAUUCCCACAUGAUUCUAGAAUUAAAACCAUUGAGAAACUAACUAAAAAACAACACAAAACUAAAGUUCUCUCUAGCAUUGAAAAACGACGAAAAUGAAUAUAUAAAAUAGAAAAAAAUGCUUAAUUCUUGAAAAAUCUUGAAUCCUAAGAGCUUAAAAUGAUUUAAAUUCUCAAAACCAUUAAAUCUUUAACCUCAUUUCGUUGAAAAUCAUCAGGAAUUGAAAAUCUACCUUUCUUGGAAGCUAACGUGAAAUGCUCAACGGAAGAAGAAAAUUUGAUAUUCAAGCUUGUAAAACUAAAAAGACUGAUAAAAAUUAGUGACAAAAUAAAUUUACCUUGCUGGAAAUUGAUUCCUGGAGCCAAAAACUGAAGAAAAUGGAUACAGAAUUUGAGAAAUGAUUUUGGU